RNAcentral lists this ribosomal RNA (949 nucleotides) under uncultured bacterium. RNAcentral describes it as "bacterial SSU rRNA". It matches the Rfam family "Bacterial small subunit ribosomal RNA", at positions 86 to 1047 of the family's 1533-position model. The record is from RNAcentral.
GGUGGAUGAGUGGCGAACGGGUGAGUAACACGUGAGUAACCUGCCCCUGACUUCGGGAUAAGCCCGGGAAACUGGGUCUAAUACCGGAUACGACUGCCGGACGCAUGUCUGGUGGUGGAAAGUUUUUUCGGUUGGGGAUGGGCUCGCGGCCUAUCAGUUUGUUGGUGAGGUAAUGGCUCACCAAGACGACGACGGGUAGCCGGCCUGAGAGGGCGACCGGCCACACUGGGACUGAGACACGGCCCAGACUCCUACGGGAGGCAGCAGUGGGGAAUAUUGCACAAUGGGGGAAACCCUGAUGCAGCGACGCAGCGUGCGGGAUGACGGCCUUCGGGUUGUAAACCGCUUUCAGCAGGGAAGAAGCGCAAGUGACGGUACCUGCAGAAGAAGUACCGGCUAACUACGUGCCAGCAGCCGCGGUAAUACGUAGGGUACGAGCGUUGUCCGGAAUUAUUGGGCGUAAAGAGCUCGUAGGUGGUUGGUCACGUCUGCUGUGGAAACGCAACGCUUAACGUUGCGCGUGCAGUGGGUACGGGCUGACUAGAGUGCAGUAGGGGAGUCUGGAAUUCCUGGUGUAGCGGUGAAAUGCGCAGAUAUCAGGAGGAACACCGGUGGCGAAGGCGGGACUCUGGGCUGUAACUGACACUGAGGAGCGAAAGCAUGGGGAGCGAACAGGAUUAGAUACCCUGGUAGUCCAUGCCGUAAACGUUGGGCACUAGGUGUGGGGGGCAUUCCACGUUCUCCGCGCCGUAGCUAACGCAUUAAGUGCCCCGCCUGGGGAGUACGGUCGCAAGGCUAAAACUCAAAGGAAUUGACGGGGGCUCGCACAAGCGGCGGAGCAUGCGGAUUAAUUCGAUGCAACGCGAAGAACCUUACCAAGGCUUGACAUACACCGGACCGUCCUGGAAACAGGUCCUCUUCUUUGAAGCUGGUGUACAGGUGGUGCAUG